This 253-nucleotide ribosomal RNA is filed under the name uncultured bacterium. RNAcentral describes it as "partial 16S ribosomal RNA". It matches the Rfam family "Bacterial small subunit ribosomal RNA", at positions 524 to 776 of the family's 1533-position model. The record is from RNAcentral.
GACAGAGGGUGCAAACGUUGUUCGGAAUUACUGGGCGUAAAGCGCGUGUAGGCGGCCCCUGCAAGUCGGGAUGUGAAAUCCCACGGCUCAACCGUGGAAGUGCAUUCGAAACUGCAGGGCUAGAGCCUGGAGAGGAAGGUGGAAUGCUUGGUGUAGAGGUGAAAUUCGUAGAUAUUCGGAAGAACACCAGUGGCGAAGGCGACUUACUGGACACAUAUUGACGCUGAGGUGCGAAAGCGUGGGGAGAAACAGG